AACAUCGCGCACCUGCGGGAACCUGCGGAAGGAUCAUUACCGAGUGUGAACCCCCCCGUAAAAAAGAGGGGUUACCUCCCGUCCUUUGCUGGGAACCCCUUUCCAACUUGGAAGGAGGUUGUUUUCAGACCCUUCUGCUUCGGUGGGGUAACCCACCGGAACAACCUCAAAAAUAUUCUCAAUUCAAAACCGUUCAGUCCGAGAACUUUUUUGAAAAGCGAAAAAACUUUCAGCAAUGGA
Molecule: unclassified non-coding RNA, 240 nt
Filed under: soil metagenome
Description: partial contains 5.8S ribosomal RNA, internal transcribed spacer 2, and large subunit ribosomal RNA
Source: RNAcentral